CAAAAAAUAGUUUAAAUAAAAUAAUAACAUUGGAAGUUAUUGAUCAAUAACUGUCAUAUUGUUUUUUGA
RNAcentral lists this transfer RNA (69 nucleotides) under Opisthoteuthis grimaldii. Its description in RNAcentral is "tRNA-Pro". The record is from RNAcentral. Lineage: Eukaryota; Metazoa; Mollusca; Cephalopoda; Octopoda; Opisthoteuthidae.